This 448-nucleotide ribosomal RNA is filed under the name uncultured bacterium. RNAcentral describes it as "partial 16S ribosomal RNA". It matches the Rfam family "Bacterial small subunit ribosomal RNA", at positions 330 to 794 of the family's 1533-position model. The record is from RNAcentral.
ACCAGACUCCUACGGGAGGCAGCAGUGGGGGAUAUUGCACAAUGGGGGGAACCCUGAUGCAGCGACGCCGCGUGGGUGAAGAAGCGCCUCGGCGCGUAAAGCCCUGUCAGCAGGGAAGAAAAUGACGGUACCUGAAGAAGAAGCCCCGGCUAACUACGUGCCAGCAGCCGCGGUAAUACGUAGGGGGCAAGCGUUAUCCGGAUUUACUGGGUGUAAAGGGGGCGCAGACGGCGAUGCAAGCCAGGAGUGAAAGCCCGGGGCCCAACCCCGGGACUGCUCUUGGAACUGCGUGGCUGGAGUGCAGGAGGGGCAGGCGGAAUUCCUGGUGUAGCGGUGAAAUGCGUAGAUAUCAGGAGGAACACCGGUGGCGAAGGCGGCCUGCUGGACGGCAACUGACGUUGAGGCCCGAAAGCGUGGGGAGCAAACAGGAUUAGAUACCCUCGUACGU